CCAAUUCCUUUCCACAAAGGUGCCAGGUCUCCUUUAUACCUCAAGCAGAUCUCAUCUCCUUGCAUAAGACGCAUAUCUGAAUCAGUCUUUGGCAGAGUGAAAUAAGCAAUUCUUUUCUUGUUCAAGCCCAGGUCCCAUCUGACUGUGAUGUUAUCUUGGGUCUGAGACUCCUUAAGCUUCUUGUCAUAGUCUGCCUCGAGCUUGACUAGAGGACCAAAUAUAUUUUGGUACUGAUAAGCAUCUUCGUAUCUAAGCAGGACAUGCUGUGGUUCUUCAUCAACACCAGGCUUUUCUAAGUCCUCAAGGGUUGCAGAUGGAUUUUCCUUCCAAAGUUCUUCCAGUUUGUUAAUCUGCUGAGCUGUAAUCUGACGUGCUCUCAGCUGUUCCUGCUCAGAUGGAAUCUUUACCAGCC
RNAcentral lists this long non-coding RNA (412 nucleotides) under Gallus gallus (chicken). Lineage: Eukaryota; Metazoa; Chordata; Aves; Galliformes; Phasianidae. The record is from RNAcentral.